AGUUUAUGAACUUGUUAUAAGUAUAUAUUUUGAAAAUAUAAAAAAGAAAAUAAAUUUUCUAUAAACUU
Molecule: transfer RNA, 68 nt
Filed under: Argopistes sp. BMNH 846608
Lineage: Eukaryota; Metazoa; Arthropoda; Insecta; Coleoptera; Chrysomelidae
Also listed under: 1 other name
Description: tRNA-Ser
Source: RNAcentral